RNAcentral lists this long non-coding RNA (534 nucleotides) under Olea europaea subsp. europaea. The record is from RNAcentral. Lineage: Eukaryota; Viridiplantae; Streptophyta; Magnoliopsida; Lamiales; Oleaceae.
GANCAUGUUAAGAAUGGAUCUAUUCUUUCUUUCGGCUACUCCAUUUUGUUGUGGAGAGUAUGGAACCGUCAAUGGACGACGAAUUCCAUUCUCCUCACAAUAUUUCUCAAACUUUUUGGAGGUGAACUCUCCUCCUCUAUCCGAUCUCAAGGCUUUUAUACUAUAUCCGCUUUCUUUUUCAACAAGAGCUUUAAACUUCUUAAAAGUUUCAAAAACUUCCAAUUUUUGUUUAAGAAAAUAGACCCAAGUCUUUCUACUGAAAUCAUCAAUAAAAAGAACAAAAUAAUUGCUCUUACCGAGAGAGCUUGGAUUAAUUGGCCCACAAACAUCGGAGUGUACAAGUUCUAGCGGCUUCUUAGCUCUUGUAGAUGCUUCUUUUGGAAAACUUUUUCUCGAAUGCUUUCCAAGUAAGCAUCCUUCACAUAAUUGAUCCGCAUGAUUUAUUGGAGGCAAACCUUUCACCAUUUUCUUCUUACUUAACAACUUUAAGCCUCCAAAAUUAAGAUGCCCAAAUCUCAAGUGCCAAAGCCAAGA